GGGGGAGGAAAACACCCCGGGGGCACGAGGAAGCAAUUUGCUCUCGGGUCUGGGAGUCAGCGCCGGAAUCAGAAUAUCCUGAGGAGGAAAGAAAACUGAGCGAGCAGGGCGAGGGUGCUGCACUGGGCAGUGAAUGAAUGAAUCCCUGCCCUGGGGUUGACACUCCAGUGGGAUGAAGAGACAGACCCAACAUGACUGCAUACGAGCCACAUGAGAGGAGAGGAGAUUGCAAUUUCGGCCGGAACUUUCUCUCAUCCCCGAGUUUGAAGAGAGCAAGUGGCAGUGGAGGAGGUGCGGAGAAGGCCGGGAGAGGGAACCAGAAGGGAAGACAGAGGCGUGAGAAGGAGAAAGCCAGAAGAGGCCGGCGCGGCGGCUCACGCUGUAAUCCCAGCACUUUGGGAGGCUGAGGCGGGUGGAUCACUUGAAGUCAGGAGUUUCAGACCAGCCUGGCCAACAUGGUGAAACCCUGUCUCUAUUAACAAAUAUAAAAAUUAACCGAGCAUGGCUGCAUGAGUCUCUAGUCCCACUACUCAGGAUGCUGAGGUGGGAGAAUCACUUGAACCCAGGAGGCGGAGGUUGCAGUGAGCCAAGAUCAUACCACUGUACUCCAGUUUGAGUGACAGAGUGAGACUCUUUCUCAAGUUAAGAAAAGCAAGAAGAGAGGGAGGAGGAAAGAAUGCAUAGGAGAAAAGAAAUACAGCCACGUGAGACAUUAAGGCAGAACUGAGAAAGGUGGCCAGGUGCAGUGGCUCAUGCUUGUAAUCCCAGCACUUUGGGAGGCUGAGGAGGGAGGAUUGCUUGAGUCCAGGUAUUCAAGACCAGCCUGGACAAUAUGGCAAGAUCCCAUUUCCACUAAAAAAAAAGAAAAGGGGCGCGCCUGGGCCGGGUCACCCAGCCCCGGGACCGCUGUAAAAAGAUAAUAUCAAAAAAAAAAAAAAAGAAAAGGGCCGGGCACGGUGGCUCAUGCCUGUAAUCCCAGCACUUUGGGAGGCCAAGGCAGGCAGAUCACCUGAGGUCGGGAGUUCGUGACCAAUCUGGCCAACAUGGUGAAACCCUGUCUCUACGAAAAGUACAAAAAUUAGCUGGGCAUGGUGGCAGGAGCCUGUAAUCCCAGCUGCUCAGGAGACUAAGGCAGGGGAAUCGCUUGAACCUGGGAGGCGGAGGUUGCAGUGAGCCCAGGUCGCACCACUGCACUCCAGCCUGGGUGACAGAGUCAGGCUCCGUCUCAAAAAAAAAGGAAGAAAGAAACAGAGACAAAAAGAAAGAGAAAAGAAAAGAAAGAUGUCAGGAUUACUGGGGGCUUUGGAUCUUGUGACUCCAGCCAGGGGCACCUGCAGGAGCUGUCCCACUUUCAAAGUCCCUUGGCCCAUGACAUGCAAUAUUUAUUUACUUAUGUAUGUAUGUAUUUGAGAUGGAGAAUUGCUCUUUUGCCCAGGGUGGAGUGUAGUGGCCCAAUCUCACUGCAACCUCCGCCUUCCAGUUUUAAGCGAUUCUCCUGCCUCAGACUCCCGAGUAGCUGGGAUUACAGGCACUCGCCACCACACCUGGCUAAUUUUUGUAUUUUUACUUGAGACCGAGUUUUACCAUGUUGGUCAGGCCGGUCUCAAACUCCUAACCUCAUGAUCCACCCGCCUCAGCCUCCCAGAGUGCUGAGAUUACAGGUGUGAGCCACUGUGCCUGGCUCAAUUUUAAUUGCAAAGCAAGCUCGUGCAGCAAGUAGGGGCCACUUACCCCAUUUUACAGAGGAGAACAUGGAGGCUUAGAGAAAGAACACUGUCAUGUUUGAGUGUGUCUCCACCCAAACCUCAUGUAGAAUUGUAAUCCCCACAUGUGGAGGAAGGGACCUGGUGGGAGAUGGAGGGAGUGGUUCCCCGUUGCGGUUCUCCUGAUAGUGAGUUCUCCCCGGAUCUGGUCGUUUGAUAAGUGUCUGGCACUUCCCCCUUCUCUCUUUCCUGCCUCCAUGUCAGACGUGCCUUGCUUUCCCUUCACUUUUUGUAAGUUUCCUGAGGCCUCCCCAGCCAGGCAGAGCUGUGAGUCAAUUAAACCUUUUUUCUUCAUAAAUCACCCACACUCACGUAGUUCUUUAUAGCAGUGUGAAAACAGACGAAUACAGACAUGUUUGCUCCAGAUCCUAGAACUAACUUAUUCAUUGUGGGAAUGAUCAGAUAAAAUCUAGGGCAGAGGAUGGAAAGCUUUUUCCAUCAAGGAUCAGAAUCUAAAUAUUUCUGGGCCAGGUAUGGUGGCUCACGCCUGUAAUCCCAACACUUUGGGAGGCUGAGGCGGCUAGAUCACGAGGUUAGGAGUUCGAGACUAGCCUGACCAAUAUGGUGACCCCCCCUCCUCCAUCUCUACCAAAAAUACAAAAAAAAAAAUUAGCCAGGCAUGGUGGUGCACCUUUAGUCUCUCCUACUCGGGAGACUGAGGCAGGAGAAUUGUGUGAACCCUGGAGGCGGAGGUUGCAGUAAGCUGAGAUUUCACCACUGACUCCAGCCUGCAUGACAGAGCAAGACUAAAUAAACAAAUAGUCUGGGUGCGGUGGCUCACACCUGUAAUCCCAGCACUGGGAGGUCGAGUUGGGCAGAUCACAAGGUCAGGAAUUCAAGACCAAACUGAACGUGGUGAAACCCCAUCUCUACUAAAAACUACAAAAAUUAGCUGGGCAUGGUGGUUCGUGCCUGUAAUCCCCGCUAGUUGGGAGGCUGAGGUAGGAGGAUUUCUUGAACUGUGACCUGGGAGUUGGAGAUUGCAGUGAGACGAGAUUGCAUGCACUCCAGCCUGGGCUACAGAGCGAGACUCCAUCUCUAAAUAAAUAAAUGAAUACAUACAUAAAUAAAAAUAAGUAAUUCUGCCUUUGCAGGCCACAUGUUCUCUAUUUAUUUAUUUUUGAGAUGGAGUGUCACUCUUGUCACCCAGGCUGGAGUGCAAUGGUGUGAUCUCAGCUCACUGCAACCUCUGCCUUCCAGGCUCAAGUGAUCCUCCCACCUCAACCUCCAAAGUACCUGGGAUUACAGGC
Callithrix jacchus (white-tufted-ear marmoset) is the source of this 3013-nucleotide long non-coding RNA. RefSeq lists it as uncharacterized. NCBI's taxonomy places the organism in Eukaryota, Metazoa, Chordata, Mammalia, Primates, Cebidae. The record is from RefSeq and is a predicted model, not a curated record.